Molecule: ribosomal RNA, 465 nt
Filed under: uncultured bacterium
Lineage: Bacteria
Description: bacterial SSU rRNA
Rfam family: Bacterial small subunit ribosomal RNA
Source: RNAcentral
GAUAAACGCUGGCGGCGUGCCUAAAACAUGCAAGUCGGACGGCACCUUCGGGUGUAGUGGCGAACGGCUGAGUAACACGUGGGUGACCUGCCCUCGAGCGGGGGAUAACUGCCCGAAAGGGUGGCUAAUACCGCAGACAUCGACGGUUCGUUCCGUCGAUUGAACUCUUCGGGGGUUCGGGGAGGGGCCCGCGGCCGAUUAGCUAGCUGGUGGGGUGACGGCCUACCAGGGCGACGAUCGGUAGCUGGUCUGAGAGGAUGAUCAGCCAGACUGGGACUGCGAACGGCCCAGACUCCUACGGGAGGCAGCAGUUAGGAAUUUUGGGCAAUGGGCGAAAGCCUGACCCAGCAACGCCGCGUGGGUGAUGAAGGCCCUCGGGUCGUAAAGCCCUUUUCCCAGGGAAGAUGAUGACGGUACCUGGGGAAUCAGCCCCGGCUAACUACGUGCCAGCAGCCGCAGUAAAAC